This 687-nucleotide ribosomal RNA is filed under the name uncultured bacterium. RNAcentral describes it as "bacterial SSU rRNA". It matches the Rfam family "Bacterial small subunit ribosomal RNA", at positions 94 to 803 of the family's 1533-position model. The record is from RNAcentral.
ACUGGCGGACGGGUGAGUAACGCGUAGCCACCUGCCUUUAGCUGGGGGAUAACAUUCCGAAAGGGGUGCUAAUACCGCAUAAUGCCGCAUGGCUAAAGGUUUCGACCGGCUAAAGAGGGGGCUGCGUGCUAUUAGUUAGUUGGUGAGGUAACGGCUCACCAAGGCGAUGAUAGCUAGGGGGUCUGAGAGGAUGAUCCCCCACACUGGGACUGAGACACGGCCCAGACUCCUACGGGAGGCAGCAGUGAGGAAUCUUGCGCAAUGGGCGAAAGCCUGACGCAGCCACGCCGCGUGCCGGAUGAAGGCCUAUGGGUUGUAAACGGCUUUUAAGCAGGAAGAACGACCGGAUUUCGAUCUGGUGUGACGGUACUGCUUGAAUAAGCACCGGCUAACUCCGUGCCAGCAGCCGCGGUAAUACGGAGGGUGCAAGCGUUGUCCGGAAUCAUUGGGUGUAAAGGGUGCGUAGGCGGGCGUCUAAGUCUGGGGUGAAAUCUUGCCGCUUAACGGUAAAAUGGCCUUGGAUACUGGGCGUCUUGAGUGUAGAAGAGGUAAGUGGAAUUCGUAGUGUAGCGGUGAAAUGCAUAGAUAUUACGAAGAUCAUCAGUGGCGACGCGGCUUACUGGUCUACACUGACGCUGAGCACGAAGCGUGGGGAGCGACAGAUAGAUACCUUGUUAGUCACGCUGA